Molecule: ribosomal RNA, 207 nt
Filed under: uncultured bacterium
Lineage: Bacteria
Description: partial 16S ribosomal RNA
Rfam family: Bacterial small subunit ribosomal RNA
Source: RNAcentral
CGUGCAGCCGGGAAUGCAAGUCAGAUGUGAAAUCCAUGGGCUUAACCCAUGAACUGCAUUUGAAACUGUAUUUCUUGAGUACUGGAGAGGCAAUCGGAAUUCCUAGUGUAGCGGUGAAAUGCGUAGAUAUUAGGAGGAACACCAGUGGCGAAGGCGGAUUGCUGGACAGCAACUGACGGCGAGGCGCGAAAGUGUGGGGAGCAAACA